GGGCGAUUAGCUCAGAUGGAUAGAGCGUUGGCCUCCGAAGCCAAAGGCCCUGGGUUCGAGUCCCAGAUCGCCCACCA
This 77-nucleotide transfer RNA is filed under the name Syntrophus sp. (in: bacteria). Its description in RNAcentral is "tRNA-Arg". It matches the Rfam family "tRNA". From Rfam's summary of the family: Transfer RNA (tRNA) molecules are approximately 80 nucleotides in length. Their secondary structure includes four short double-helical elements and three loops (D, anti-codon, and T loops). Lineage: Bacteria; Pseudomonadati; Thermodesulfobacteriota; Syntrophia; Syntrophales; Syntrophaceae. RNAcentral also lists the same sequence under 3 other names. The record is from RNAcentral.